UUUUACAAUUAACAAAGCCAAAAGACCACAAAUGUCGAUCCAAAACGAAAUACCCUCACAAAUUCCUAUUUUAAAUAUAUGUUGUGCAUUCUGGAAUUUAAAGCCGCGGGAAGCAAAGGGUUCUUAUCAACUUUCGACUUCCUGUGCCGCCAGCACUUAAGUUAAAGGAUGUCACCACUGGCGAGUAUAACCCCCAGCCAUUGAAAAACCGGAAAGCUGCCUGCGUGCUGGUCCAACAUAAAAGGGAAAAUAGCAGCCGCAACAGGAAAAGCAAUAGUAUUUACGCGUGCCUUUGAUAAUGAGGACUUAUGAAUGCGUGAACGCAUAAAAGAUAAGAUACAAGAAGGUGGGGAGCCUACUAAUUGUUAGUUAUUAGUUCGCCAUUGAUGCUGCAAACAAUGUGCUCCAUGGUCCACUCAAUAAACACUUUUACGCGGA
Drosophila santomea is the source of this 438-nucleotide long non-coding RNA. RefSeq lists it as uncharacterized. The record is from RefSeq and is a predicted model, not a curated record. Lineage: Eukaryota; Metazoa; Arthropoda; Insecta; Diptera; Drosophilidae. The transcript is spliced from 2 exons.